GAAAAGCCCAGGCUUCAGGGAUCCCCAGGUCUGACACCCCUCUGGCCUCUCAUGGAACGCGGGCUGCAUUCUUCACAGCGUCUCUUUGGAUUCCUUUCCCGGAAUCUCUGGAUCCUGGGAGCCAACAGAAGUAAACAUGGAGAUCCGACCUAGUUUCCUAGAACUUCCAUAACGUAGCACAAUCCGGGCAGUUUCAACAACAGAAAUGCAUUCUCUCACAGCUCUGGAGAGUGGCGGGCAAGGUCCCCGAGGGUGUCUGAUCCCGGCUCUCCAAGCUGCUGGCGGGCUGCUGACAUCCCUGGCCUGCCUGGGCUUCUGCAUGCAUCAUCCCGACCUCUGCCUGACUUCUCAUGGCCUUCUCCCCUGUGCGGGUCCUUCCUUUCCCUGUCUGUCUCUGGGUCCACGUUUCCCCCUUUUCAUAAGGUCACUAGUCCUAUCGGGUGAGGGUCCACCUGACUACCUCAGUCUAACUCUUACUUCUGUGAAGGUAUUUCCAGAUAGUUACACUCUGAAGUACUGAGGAUUGGGGCACAUAUGUUUUAUAUGCUUUGGAGGCACAUAUUCAACCAUAGCAAGGUCCUUGGACUACUUUCAUAUCUUGGAAGUAAUAUAAGAAGUAGACCUUCUCAUACUGACUUCUCGUAAGUACUGUUUGUU
Molecule: long non-coding RNA, 657 nt
Filed under: Marmota monax (woodchuck)
Lineage: Eukaryota; Metazoa; Chordata; Mammalia; Rodentia; Sciuridae
Source: RNAcentral